Molecule: long non-coding RNA, 2094 nt
Filed under: Nicotiana tabacum (common tobacco)
Lineage: Eukaryota; Viridiplantae; Streptophyta; Magnoliopsida; Solanales; Solanaceae
Description: long non-coding RNA (NTAB_LNC000936)
Source: RNAcentral
CAAAAUACUUUCAAUUAUUUUUAAUAAAUGAUAUACAUUAGUAAAAAUACAUAAUUAAAGGUUCAACAAUAUCAUUCAAGAUAAAUUAGAAUACUAAAAUGUUGUAAUAUUCAAAACGUAUCGAUAUUUUUUUUACAAGAGAAAGAAUAAUUGCAUACAGAUCCAGGGUAUAUAACUCUUUUACAACACGAAUAAAAAAGUUUUAAAACAAACUAGCUAAUGUGAGACUGGAUAGUAAUGGUAACCAUCAGUGGAUAGUGUUUGAACUGAAAAACAUUUCCUUUGACAGGGUAAGUUUCUGCGAGAAACAACAACCUGCUUCUUUAAAACCUUAAGAUUAUUAGUGCAAUGGAUAUACCAAAAGAUUACAAACCGUUCAAAACAUAAGCCUUAUUUAGCAGUUAUUAGUUUGAAGCACAACACUAAGAAAAUACUACCAACCUCAUAAGCUGCACAACUUCUUAGUAUCUGAUAACUAGGCGUUUCCAUGUCUGAAGUCUUGUAAAUCCUUAAAUUCGUAACUGCCAAAAAAUUAUAUUCUCAUAUUUCUCGGCUCAAGAAAAGAGCAUAAGCUAAACCAGUUCAACAUCACACCCGUUUCAUAAUAACAAACAGUCAUAGAGUAAAAUAUUAUUAUUCUAAAUAAAUUUUAGAAGUCCUACAAAUUUUAACAAUAAUUUUAUAAACACUCCAUCCUUCACUAGGUAGUAUAACCAAUUGACUUUGUUUUGAGAAAGAGUGAAGUAUCAUACAUACCUCAUGGUUAUUACACUUGUUUGUUUCUACAUUGAUGCCCAUAACACAAGUACCUGAAAAGACAAAUUUAAGUUUACUUAAAAAGAAUGAACCUCAUCACCAUACUGCAACAUAAAUUUGGAGCAUAUGCUUAAAAAUGAUUGUGCUAAUGCAUCCCAUAAUUUCACCCUUAUAAGCUGUUGGAGUAUUUAUACUGUAUAUUUGAGAAGUUUUUCCACCAUCUCAGCAAAUUCAUUGGAUAGCGUCUAGAAGUAUUUAGAAGUUAUGGAUUUAUCCUAAUUGUUGCAUUGAAGUUUUAGAAAUAAUGGAAUGGUAAUAUCUUAACAAGCAACUCUUCUUCACCUAUUUGCAUCAUUGCUAGCUGCCACAAGAAGUACAAAAAUAUAUACAAAGCGAAGAUGCAUUUCCGUAUGACCAUUUAUUUAGUAAGUUGCACAUCAAAUGAAUGCAUAUACUCACCCUAUAUCCACUCAACUGAUCAUCAAGUUUGGGUGAAUACAGUGCCUCACCAACUCAUUUGCUCUCUGCAAUUAUUCACAUAGAUAUUAACCACUACAGCUGUGAAUAGUACCUACUCUAAUAGAAAAAAAUUAUUAGUAUAGUUUUUUGUGUGUGCAUAUAACUGCAAACUGGGUACAACCCAAAAAACCAUUUAAGAUCCCCAAUCUGCAAAUGGAGGUAAUGAAGAAUAAAAAAUAUACAAGAAAUUAUAGAAAAAAGGCUUGUUCUGGCUUAGUACUACAGAAAUCAAGAUUCAACUACUAAUUCCCGUUUCAUACAACAAACUAUUUUAAGCAAAUAGCAAAUAUAGGAAUUAAAAUAUACGAAAAAGGUCCUCCAUUCAUAAUAAUUGGAGAGAUCCCUAAUUUAUUGCUUUGAAUUUGGCAAUCUAUUAUUCUUUUAAAUUCUUGGCACUUAUCAAUAUAACUACUUUUAAAUUCUUGGCACUUAUCAAUAUAACUAAAGUCGGGAUUGCCAUUUCACCGCCAUAUUGUAAUGAUGAAACUAAAAAGAACUAUUCCCGAUCAAGAAUCCUAAGAAAGCAAUGAUAACAACCGAAAUAAUUAAGAAGAGAAACAAAAGAAAGACUAGGGAUACCUUGACGAUUUAUGUUUUCCAAGAGCAAGAGGACGAGGGUUUUAGGGAUAAUUGGUUUGAGCGGGGAAGAUUGGAGGAGAUGUGCGGAUAGCUUUUGGGGGGAAUGGGGUUGGAGUCUAAAUAUUUUAGGUCUUAAGGAACUGAGAGAUUUGGGCUUUAAUCCUUUUCUUCUUUUUUUGUUUAUCUUUUUUAUUUGUAGCUUUGUCUUUAACUUUUCAUAUACUUUUGCACACAAAUGAG